RNAcentral lists this ribosomal RNA (499 nucleotides) under uncultured bacterium. RNAcentral's name for it is "partial 16S ribosomal RNA". It matches the Rfam family "Bacterial small subunit ribosomal RNA", at positions 355 to 842 of the family's 1533-position model. The record is from RNAcentral.
UGGGGAAUAUUGCACAAUGGGCGCAAGCCUGAUGCAGCCAUGCCGCGUGUGUGAAGAAGGCCUUCGGGUUGUAAAGCACUUUCAGCGAGGAGGAAGGUGGUGAGCUUAAUACGCUCAUCAAUUGACGUUACUCGCAGAAGAAGCACCGGCUAACUCCGUGCCAGCAGCCGCGGUAAUACGGAGGGUGCAAGCGUUAAUCGGAAUUACUGGGCGUAAAGCGCACGCAGGCGGUUUGUUAAGUCAGAUGUGAAAUCCCCGGGCUCAACCUGGGAACUGCAUUUGAAACUGGCAAGCUAGAGUCUCGUAGAGGGGGGUAGAAUUUCCAGGUGUAGCGGUGAAAUGCGUAGAGAUCUGGAGGAAUACCGGUGGCGAAGGCGGCCCCCCUGGACGAAGACUGACGCUCAGGUGCGAAAGCGUGGGGCAGCAAACAGGAUUAGAUACCCUGGUAGUCCACGCUGUAAACGAUGUCGAUUUGGAGGUUGUGCCCCUUGAGGCGUGG